This 253-nucleotide ribosomal RNA is filed under the name uncultured bacterium. RNAcentral's name for it is "partial 16S ribosomal RNA". It matches the Rfam family "Bacterial small subunit ribosomal RNA", at positions 524 to 776 of the family's 1533-position model. The record is from RNAcentral.
UACGAAGGGAGCUAGCGUUGUUCGGAAUCACUGGGCGUAAAGCGCACGUAGGCGGAUGUGUCAGUCAGGGGUGAAAUCCCGGAGCUCAACUUCGGAACUGCCUUUGAUACAGCACAUCUGGAGUCCGGAAGAGGUGGGUGGAAUUCCUAGUGUAGAGGUGAAAUUCGUAGAUAUUAGGAAGAACACCGGUGGCGAAGGCGGCCCACUGGUCCGGUACUGACGCUGAGGUGCGAAAGCGUGGAGAGCAAACAGG